GAUGAACGCUGGCGGCGUGCCUAAUACAUGCAAGUCGAGCGAACAGACGAGGAGCUUGCCCCUCUGACGUUAGCGGCGGACGGGUGAAUAACACGUGGAUAACCUACCUAUAAGACUGGGAUAACUUCGGGAAACCGGAGCUAAUACCGGAUAAUAUAUUGAACCGCAUGGUUCAAUAGUGAAAGACGGUUUUGCUGUCACUUAUAGAUGGAUCCGCGCCGCAUUAGCUAGUUGGUAAGGUAACGGCUUACCAAGGCAACGAUGCGUAGCCGACCUGAGAGGGUGAUCGGCCACACUGGAACUGAGACACGGUCCAGACUCCUACGGGAGGCAGCAGUAGGGAAUCUUCCGCAAUGGGCGAAAGCUUGACGGAGCAACGCCGCGUGAGUGAUGAAGGUCUUCGGAUCGUAAAACUCUGUUAUUAGGGAAGAACAAAUGUGUAAGUAACUAUGCACGUCUUGACGGUACCUAAUCAGAAAGCCACGGCUAACUACGUG
RNAcentral lists this ribosomal RNA (497 nucleotides) under uncultured bacterium. Its description in RNAcentral is "partial 16S ribosomal RNA". It matches the Rfam family "Bacterial small subunit ribosomal RNA", at positions 28 to 507 of the family's 1533-position model. The record is from RNAcentral.